UACGUAGGGGGCUAGCGUUGUCCGGAAUCAUUGGGCGUAAAGAGCGCGUAGGCGGCCAGACAAGUCCGGUGUGAAAGUCACAGGCUCAACCUGUGAAUGCCGCUGGAAACUGUCUGGCUAGAGUCCGGAAGGGGCGAGUGGAAUUCCUGGUGUAGCGGUGAAAUGCGCAGAUAUCAGGAGGAACACCUAUGGCGAAGGCAGCUCGCUGGGACGGUACUGACGCUGAGGCGCGAAAGCUAGGGGAGCAAACGGG
This 253-nucleotide ribosomal RNA is filed under the name uncultured bacterium. Its description in RNAcentral is "partial 16S ribosomal RNA". It matches the Rfam family "Bacterial small subunit ribosomal RNA", at positions 524 to 776 of the family's 1533-position model. The record is from RNAcentral.